Molecule: long non-coding RNA, 1315 nt
Organism: Sardina pilchardus (European sardine)
Lineage: Eukaryota; Metazoa; Chordata; Actinopteri; Clupeiformes; Clupeidae
Exons: 4
Source: RefSeq, a predicted model, not a curated record
GAAUAGAUUAAUAAAGCGUUAGACUCGCUAAAGUCUAGCUAUGGCUAAAGUCUGAAGUGGAUAGCAAAAGAAAACCGUUAGAGGCAGACAGGCUAACUUUUUACUGUUCAUUAUAGUUUCACUAACGUCAAUCGUAAUGUCGACCGUCAGUAUUUAUCAGUAGAUUGUAAAUUAUUAGAAGUGUUAUAUCCUUUAGUAGUGUUUGUACUCUAGGCGCCAGUUAGCAUGUAACAGCAUGUGAAUGAAUGAACUGGCCACACUAGCAUGGUGCAUUUAUACCUGACGAUCUCUUUCAAGACAUUUGAAUAAAAAACGGACAUCAUGGUUAGUAUUUACAGGGUCUGUACAUGUGGUCCCUAGCCUGGUUUGUCUGAGAAUUAAGUAGAAAUAUCCUUUAGAAGUGUUUGUACUUUAGGCGCUAGUUAGCAUGUAACAGCAUCUGAAUGAAUGAACUGACCACUACUGUAUGGUGCAUUUAUACCUGACGAUCUCUUUCAAGUCAUUUAAAUAAAACAUGGAUAUCAUGGUUAGUAUUUGUAGAGUCUAUAAAUGUGGUCCCUUGCUUGGUUUGUCUGAAAAUUAAGUGGAAAUAUCCUUUAGAAGUGUUUGUACUUUAGGCGCUAGUUAGCAUGUGCCAGGUGUCAUACCACUGCAGUAAUCAUCUCACUAAACACGUCUUUUCAUAUCCAAUCUGUUCAACAGAGUUUACCAGUCAGACCACUACACCUUUGCCAGCACCACCACCCAGCAAGCUUCAUCAACUCCAGCCAUGCCGAGUUUACCAGUCAGACCUACACCUCCGUCAAAUUCGCUCACAGCGCUGCCAAUAACACCCCAGCAAGAUUUUUACAGACUUGUUCUGCAGCACUUCCGAACAAUUGAGGAGGAGCUGGGGUAAAGCAGCAGGUGGCUGUGAACACAUCUAUGCUGCAGAAGCUAGGUGGUGGUGGUGUGGCGGAUCUUGGCCUCGUGGAGGACAACAACAGGCCAUUGAGUAAUGUUGAGGACCUGGACGAGUUGGAGAGGCGGCUUGCAUCCGAUGCGGACCUGAAAAAUCAACUGGUGAACAUACUUGGGAGGGAAAACCACGGAGAUGCUGUUAAGAGGAUGCUGGGCCGGGCUUUGAGGAGGUCCCUGGCGCUCCAAAUUAAUUAGACUGGUGCAGCAGGAAAGGUGGCAUUUAAGUCCUUACACCUGAAGAGUGUGUUGCAUAUUAAUAUCAUUAUUAAAAAUAAUUUUAAUAAAUUGUUUAAGCAUGUAGAAGAAAUAAAGCAUGUAAAUGAGCUUGUAAAAGAAAUAAAUAAACAAAAUGUAU